This 271-nucleotide ribosomal RNA is filed under the name uncultured archaeon. RNAcentral's name for it is "partial 16S ribosomal RNA". It matches the Rfam family "Archaeal small subunit ribosomal RNA", at positions 477 to 747 of the family's 1478-position model. The record is from RNAcentral.
CAGCGCCACAAGUGGGGAUCCUGUUUAUUUGGCCUAAAGCGUCCGUAGCUGGUUUAGUAAAUCUUUUGUGAAAUCGUUAAGCUUAACUUAACGGCGUGCAGGAGAGACUGCUAAGCUAGGGACCGGGAGGAGUCAGAGGUAUGCCGGGGGGAGCGGUAAAAUGCUAUAAUCCCUAGUGGACCACCUAUGGCGAAGGCAUCUGACUAGAACGGGUCCGACAGUGAGGGACGAAAGCCAGGGGAGCAAACCGGAUUAGAUACCCGAGUAGUCC